Molecule: ribosomal RNA, 501 nt
Filed under: Triticum aestivum (bread wheat)
Lineage: Eukaryota; Viridiplantae; Streptophyta; Magnoliopsida; Poales; Poaceae
Description: partial small subunit ribosomal RNA
Source: RNAcentral
AUGGCGAGCAGCUUCGCGCUGCUGCUGCUCCUCCUGGCGGCGGUCGCGUCCACGAUCGCCGAGCUGGACGAGAGGGAGCCGCACAUCGAUCCAGCGUCCACCAUCGCUGAGCUGUUGAAUGCGGCGGUCACGUCCACCACCGCCGAGCUCGAUGAUGUCGAGCCAGCCGACUGCGACGGCUACAGGACUUACAUCGUCAUGCUCGAGCCACUAGAAGGAGGCCAAGAUGCUGAUGUUGAUGCUGCCAGAGCGUGGCACCGCUCCUUCCUGCCAUCGUCGACGACGGCACAAGGCAAGCCGAGGCUGCUCUAUUCCUACCGGACCGUCUUCACCGGCUUCGCCGCGUGGCUGACGGAUGAGGAGCUCAAGGAGGUCUCCGCCAAGCCAGGCUUCGUCCGCUCCUUCGACAACAACAUCUACCGCGGGCAGAUGACACCGACGCCGACGUCGGUGUCGUUCCUGGACCUGUCGAACCAUAUUGGGGAGUCCCCCGAUAACUGA